RNAcentral lists this ribosomal RNA (402 nucleotides) under Bacteroidales bacterium. RNAcentral describes it as "bacterial SSU rRNA". It matches the Rfam family "Bacterial small subunit ribosomal RNA", at positions 1 to 392 of the family's 1533-position model. The record is from RNAcentral. Lineage: Bacteria; Pseudomonadati; Bacteroidota; Bacteroidia; Bacteroidales.
AAACAACGGAGAGUUUGAUCCUGGCUCAGGAUGAACGCUAGCGACAGGCUUAACACAUGCAAGUCGAGGGGCAGCGGGGAUGUAGCAAUACAUCUGCCGGCGACCGGCGCACGGGUGAGUAACACGUAUGCAACCCACCCUCAGCAGGGGGAUAACCCGGAGAAAUCCGGCCUAAUACCGCGUACACCUCCGCAGAGACAUCUCCGUGGAGGGAAAGGAGCGAUCCGGCUGAGGACGGGCAUGCGUCGCAUUAGGUAGACGGCGGGGUAACGGCCCACCGUGCCGACGAUGCGUAGGGGUUCUGAGAGGAAGGCCCCCCACACUGGUACUGAGACACGGACCAGACUCCUACGGGAGGCAGCAGUGAGGAAUAUUGGUCAAUGGCCGAGAGGCUGAACCAGC